GUGAGGAAUAUUGGACAAUGGGCGCAAGUCUGAUCCAGCCAUGCCGCGUGCAGGAAGACGCAUCUAUGGUGUGUAAACUGCUUUUGUACGGGAAGAAACACUCCCUCGUGAGGGAGCUUGACGGUACCGUAAGAAUAAGGAUCGGCUAACUCCGUGCCAGCAGCCGCGGUAAUACGGAGGAUCCAAGCGUUAUCCGGAAUCAUUGGGUUUAAAGGGUCCGUAGGCGGUUUAAUAAGUCAGUGGUGAAAGCCCAUCGCUCAACGAUGGAACGGCCAUUGAUACUGUUAGACUUGAAUUACAAGGAAGUAACUAGAAUAUGUAGUGUAGCGGUGAAAUGCUUAGAUAUUACAUGGAAUACCAAUUGCGAAGGCAGGUUACUACUUGUGGAUUGACGCUGAUGGACGAAAGCGUGGGGAGCGAACAGGAUUAGAAACCCGGGUAGUCC
RNAcentral lists this ribosomal RNA (445 nucleotides) under uncultured bacterium. RNAcentral describes it as "partial 16S ribosomal RNA". It matches the Rfam family "Bacterial small subunit ribosomal RNA", at positions 354 to 796 of the family's 1533-position model. The record is from RNAcentral.